AUGCUUUCAAACCAACACACAGAUCAGAUCCCUGGCUGCAGCACACUGACUAAGGAUGAUGAAGAUGUCAGGAAUAAUCACACUUUGCUGUGUAGUUCUGUUCUUUGCUCUGACUUCCGUGUCGGCAGUACAAAGGCUGGAUUCAAUCGAUGAUUUGAAGAGAAUCAACUUUGGCCAAUCGGUGCCCAAACACAUUCUUGUGCUGCUCUACUGGUUUGCCAACACAGUCAACAUCGACACUUACACUGUCAUAAGACUUAACUUUGACCCAAACAGUAGAGCUUAUGGCUCACAUUAUUAUGGCAACCAUGAGGGUCUGUUGGAUCCACUGCCUCGGGGACAUGGAUACACGUACUUCACUGUUGGCAGUCUCAAUCAAGAAGCAUCGUCCGUGCAACUUCCACAUUAUGUUGUCAAUCCCCCAAGUAGGGAAUAUGUGGGAAAUAACGGGCAGGAUCAUAAUCCGUGUCAGGGAUCAGAUAAUAGACCAAGUGUAUAUCACACAGCAUACUGGAGGUCAGAAUGUAUAUGAUCCAGAUUACACCUACCAAAUAACUACCAACCUCCUGAGACAGAUCAGAGAGUUUUCUGUGGGAGAAAACCAACAAUCACUGACCCGACUCAGAAACAUCCAUGGAAGCAACGCUGAUGUUUCCAAUAUCAUAAAAACUUGGAGAAACCUUGCUGGCCUUGGACUGCUGCUGUUUAUUGUGAUCCAGGAGGGACAAUCAUCUUAUCCACACUAAACACCACAAAGCUACAACAGACCCGAAUACAACUCCAGACCAGAAAACAGCAACAAUUUUUGGGGUAUAUGUGUACGGGUAAUUGGCUUUAUUCUUUUGGUUAUGGUAGUUGUGGUGGGCUUUCUUAUUCUUUUAAGUGAGGCAAAUAGAUUACAAAAGGGAAGAUGAGGGAGAUGAUAUCGUCUAAAUCAAGGUGUGGGGGUGUUUUUCAAAGAUAUUUGGGACCAUAAAGUCAGCAAGACUCCCAAAAGAAUAAUCAGACAGUAACACCACCUCAGGAAGAUGGCCAGGGUUGUUCUGUUGUAGGCUUUGUUUACCUAUAUAUGUUUAAUUUAGCUGGUAGUAUAUUGUGUUUUAUGUAAAUGGUGUUCAGUUCAGAUUGUGUUGUAGUCUUGGUAUGACAUGCAAAUAACAAAUAAAAAAAAAUCAAAUUAUGGACGAGCACAAAAUCAAAAUAGUAGGAGGCUGAUUCAUUAUAUUAUUGUUCAUUUGUAAAAAGUUGGGACAUAUGUAAUCAAAUUCAGAAUUAAUGUUUAUAUGCCAAAAUUAGAUUUCUUGUCUCCGUCUUGUCUCAUUCAAUUUAAUGUAAGUCUCAAAGGAUUUGUGAAUAAUUGCAUUAUUUUUCCUCUUUUUACAGUCCAAAUCUUUGGGAAAUUUGGGUUGGGAUCAGGAGUUUUAUAGCUCUAUUUUUCUAAAUUGUAUUGAAACUAUUGCAUCUUUUAAUGCACUGUUCUGGCAUGGUCAUAAAUCUUCAGGUAUCCUUCAGGUCAUGUUCCAGCAUGUCUAAUGUAAUAGUUAUGAGAUGAAGGGAAUGUAAAAUUGCACUGAUAGAUAAAUGACACGGAUAAGUAAAAGGCUCUUUGGUUUAGGACAGAUAACAGAAUGAUGAGGUGUUUUCUGAUAAUGUAUUAGCUUUUAUACAGGAGUGUUUUUCAUUCAUGGUUUUGUAUUUCUGCAGUUUUGUGUGUUUAUUAAACUGGAGUUUUUCAUUGAGA
This is a long non-coding RNA of Centropristis striata (black sea bass), 1741 nucleotides long. RefSeq lists it as uncharacterized. NCBI's taxonomy places the organism in Eukaryota, Metazoa, Chordata, Actinopteri, Perciformes, Serranidae. The transcript is spliced from 2 exons. The record is from RefSeq and is a predicted model, not a curated record.